CAGCAGCCCCAUCCCUUUUUCCCCAUUUCUCCUCCUUUGUCUCACUCAUUCUUCUCCCACACACACAUACACAUGGCCAAGUGGGAGAGAGAACGAACUUGAGUGGGAGAAAGGGAGCCAGCCGUGAGAAAGAAAGGAGAAGAAGAAGAAAAAAAAGAGAAGAAGAGGAAAGUGACGAAUUUUAUGGGGGAUUCGGCCAAGGGUGCUUGUGAGGUGUAUCGCGGUUGAGUCAAGAGUUCACCGGAGGGUACUCAAGCGAACAAGAUGAUGUUGUUGAUGCAGGUGCAGAGACAAUAGACGAUGACCCUGUGGCCAUGUAUUUAGGUUACCACGGUGUCUGAGGCCUGGAUACAUUGGGCGUUUAUUUUGUUGGACUAGUUGAUAGCCCACUUUUGUAGAGCAUUCAUGUAUAUGCUUAGGCAUUGUUAUUUUGUAUAUGGCUCGUGUCGUAUGUGACACUUUUGUAAAGCCAUUCUUUUGUAUGUAAGCUUUAAUCACUUAGAUGUAUUAAUCAGCUCUG
Long non-coding RNA from Corylus avellana, 520 nucleotides. RefSeq lists it as uncharacterized. NCBI's taxonomy places the organism in Eukaryota, Viridiplantae, Streptophyta, Magnoliopsida, Fagales, Betulaceae. The record is from RefSeq and is a predicted model, not a curated record.